Molecule: non-coding RNA, 125 nt
Organism: Ricinus communis (castor bean)
Lineage: Eukaryota; Viridiplantae; Streptophyta; Magnoliopsida; Malpighiales; Euphorbiaceae
Source: Rfam
AGGAGCUGUAUGAGAUGAAAAUCUCAUGUACGGUUCUGGAACGGAGAUAUAGGGGUAUAUUUUUUGAUUUGAGAAAGCAACCCUGUAAGAAGGGUAUAUUUGGGAAGGUGGAACAACAACCCUGU